RNAcentral lists this unclassified non-coding RNA (200 nucleotides) under Hevea brasiliensis (rubber tree). The record is from RNAcentral. Lineage: Eukaryota; Viridiplantae; Streptophyta; Magnoliopsida; Malpighiales; Euphorbiaceae.
AAAAAAAUUAUGUGAGCUGCUUUUCAUAGAGGAACAAAGCACAUUGGAGUCCCUUAAAUGCAUCACUGGAAACUUCUUAACAGAUAAAUAGCAAAAAGAGUAACACCAGUCACCAAAGGUUUUGCUGCCUCCAACAGAUGUAUCACUAGAAUCUUCUUGAUCAGAUCGUAGCAUGCUAAUCACUUUGCAGAAUGAAUGCG